AGAGUUUGAUCCUGGCUCAGGAUAAACGCUGGCGGCGUGCAUGAGACAUGCAAGUCGAACGAGUGACUCGGGCUUGCCCGAGUCGCUAGUGGCGGACGGCUGAGUAACGCGUAGGUGACCUGCCCCGAUGUGGGGGAUAACUGCCCGAAAGGGUGGCUAAUACCGCAUAUGGUCGAUCGUUCAGUCGGUCGAUCAAAGCCGUAAGGCGCUUCGGGAGGGGCCUGCGUCCGAUUAGCUCGUUGGUGGGGUAACGGCUCACCAAGGCGACGAUCGGUAGGUGGUCUGAGAGGACGAUCACCCAGACUGGGACUGAGACACGGCCCAGACUCCUACGGGAGGCAGCAGUCGGGAAUUUUGCUCAAUGGGCGCAAGCCUGAAGCAGCAACGCCGCGUGAGGGAUGAAGGCCUUCGGGUUGUAAACCUCUUUUCUCAGGGACGAUGAUGACGGUACCUGAGGAAUAAGCCACGGCUAACUACGUGCCAGCAGCCGCGGUAAUACGUAGGUGGCAAGCGUUGUCCGGAUUUACUGGGCGUAAAGAGCGCGCAGGCGGUUGGAUAAGUCGAAUGUGAAAGCCCCCGGCUUAACUGGGGAGGGUCAUUCGAUACUGUCCAACUUGAAGGCAGGAGAGGGCAGCAGAAUUCCCGGUGUAGUGGUGAAAUGCGUAGAUAUCGGGAGGAAUACCAGCGGCGAAGGCGGCUGCCUGGCCUGUUCUUGACGCUGAGGCGCGAAAGCUGGGGGAGCAAACGGGAUUAGAUACCCCGGUAGUCCCAGCCGUAAACGAUGGACACUAGGUGUUGGUGGUAUCAACCCCGCCAGUGCCGUAGCUAACGCAUUAAGUGUCCCGCCUGGGGAGUACGGCCGCAAGGCUAAAACUCAAAGGAAUUGACGG
This 890-nucleotide ribosomal RNA is filed under the name uncultured bacterium. RNAcentral describes it as "bacterial SSU rRNA". It matches the Rfam family "Bacterial small subunit ribosomal RNA", at positions 8 to 916 of the family's 1533-position model. The record is from RNAcentral.